AACGCAAAUCGCGCUCGAGGCCUCGGCCGAGAGCAUGUCUGCCUCAGCGUCGUCUCAAACCCUCCCUCCCCCUUUCGAUCUGAUCGAAGGGCGGAAGGGGAACUGGUCGUUUCAGUGCCUCGCCACUGAAUCGGUCGAAAUACAGAAGGACCCUCCUUUCAACCAGGGUCACGAAAGGUAGAUUGCCCUCGGGCGAUUCCUAUCGUGUCUCGAAAGGCAGGCCGCCCUACAGCCGGAGAAUUUCACCUAGACUUUGACCUGAGUUCAGGCAAGAACACCCGCUGAACUUAA
Molecule: unclassified non-coding RNA, 291 nt
Filed under: uncultured fungus
Lineage: Eukaryota; Fungi
Description: partial contains 5.8S ribosomal RNA, internal transcribed spacer 2, and large subunit ribosomal RNA
Source: RNAcentral